GCCGGGAUGUUGUAAUUGGUAGCCAAGCACGCUUGAGGUGCGUGUGCCAGAAAUGGCGUGGAGGUUCGAGUCCUCUUCCCGGCA
This 84-nucleotide transfer RNA is filed under the name bacterium. RNAcentral describes it as "tRNA-Leu". It matches the Rfam family "tRNA". From Rfam's summary of the family: Transfer RNA (tRNA) molecules are approximately 80 nucleotides in length. Their secondary structure includes four short double-helical elements and three loops (D, anti-codon, and T loops). The record is from RNAcentral.